Molecule: transfer RNA, 73 nt
Filed under: Trichonephila inaurata madagascariensis
Lineage: Eukaryota; Metazoa; Arthropoda; Arachnida; Araneae; Nephilidae
Rfam family: tRNA
About the family: Transfer RNA (tRNA) molecules are approximately 80 nucleotides in length.
Source: Rfam by way of RNAcentral
UUUCCCGUAGCGCAAUGGAUAGCGCGUUGAACUUCUAAUCUAAUGGUCGUGGGUUCGAAUCCCACCCGGAAAG